This 468-nucleotide ribosomal RNA is filed under the name uncultured bacterium. RNAcentral describes it as "partial 16S ribosomal RNA". It matches the Rfam family "Bacterial small subunit ribosomal RNA", at positions 28 to 507 of the family's 1533-position model. The record is from RNAcentral.
GACGAACGCUGGCGGCGUGCUUAACACAUGCGAGUCGAACGGAAAGGCCCUGCGUUUGUGGGGUGCUCGAGUGGCGAACGGGUGAGUAACACGUGAGUAACCUGCCCUUGACUUUGGGAUAACUUCAGGAAACUGGGGCGAAUAUCGGGUAGGAGCUCCUGCUGCAUGGGGGGGGUUGGAAAGUGUCGGCGGUUGGGGAUGGACUCGCGGGUUAUCAGCUGGUUGGUGGGGUAGUGGCUUACCAAGGCUUUGACGGGUAGCCGGCCUGAGAGGGUGACCGGCCACAUUGCGACUGAGAUACGGACCAGACUCCUACGGGAGGCAGCAGUGGGGAAUCUUGCACAAUGGGCGGACGCCUGAUGCAGCAACGCCGCGUGCGGGAUGACGGCCUUCGGGUUGUAAACCGCUUUCGCCUGUGACGAAGCGUGAGUGACGGUAAUGGGUAAAGAAGCACCGGCUAACUACGUG